Molecule: long non-coding RNA, 532 nt
Filed under: Brassica napus (rape)
Lineage: Eukaryota; Viridiplantae; Streptophyta; Magnoliopsida; Brassicales; Brassicaceae
Description: long non-coding RNA (BNAP_LNC021137)
Source: RNAcentral
UAGAAUUUAGGUUUCCCGCCUAAAUUUUAGUAGAAUAUAGGUUUCCCGCCUAAAGCGAAGUCUUCCAGAAGUCUUAUAGAAGUCUUCUCAUGUAUUUGAAUUUAGGAUCUAGAAUUCUCUUAGAAGACUUCCCAAGAAGUCUUCUAUAUCAAGUCUUCUAUAUCGAAAAUAUUUAACCUAAUUGGAAUUUUUGUCUUCAUAUAUAAAGAAAAUUUACACAUUAUCUUUCUUCCUCUCAAAUGGCUGCAACAAUAAUGUAAUGUUUCCCACUCUAAAACUCUCCAAUCUCUCUCUAAUCUCUUUGAACAUCAAAACACCAAAUUUAAAUCUCUGAGAAAAAUAAUGUAAUGUUUCUCACUCUUAGAAGUCUUCUCUUAGAAGACUUCCCAAGAAGUCUUCUAUAUCGAAAAUAUUUAACCUAAUUGGAAUUUUUGUUUUCAUAUAUAAAGAAAAUUUACACAUUAUCUUUCUUCCUCUCAAAUGGCUGCAACAAUAAUGUAAUGUUUCUCAAUCUACAACUCUCUAACCUCUC